ACGGGAGGCAGCAGUGGGGGAUAUUGCACAAUGGGCGAAAGCCUGAUGCAGCGACGCCGCGUGAGGGAAGACGGUUUUCGGAUUGUAAACCUCUGUCUUCGGGGACGAAAAUGACGGUACCCGAGGAGGAAGCCACGGCUAACUACGUGCCAGCAGCCGCGGUAAUACGUAGGUUGCAAGCGUUGUCCGGAUUUACUGGGUGUAAAGGGCGUGUAGGCGGAGCUGCAAGUCAGAUGUGAAAUCCCGGGGCUCAACCCCGGAACUGCAUUUGAAACUGUAGCCCUUGAGUAUCGGAGAGGCAAGCGGAAUUCCUAGUGUAGCGGUGAAAUGCGUAGAUAUUAGGAGGAACACCAGUGGCGAAGGCGGCUUGCUGGACGACGACUGACGCUGAGGCUCGAAAGCGUGGGGAGCAAACAGGAUUAGAUACCCUGGUA
Molecule: ribosomal RNA, 434 nt
Rfam family: Bacterial small subunit ribosomal RNA